Molecule: ribosomal RNA, 441 nt
Filed under: uncultured bacterium
Lineage: Bacteria
Description: bacterial SSU rRNA
Rfam family: Bacterial small subunit ribosomal RNA
Source: RNAcentral
UAGGGAAUAUUGGACAAUGGGCGAAAGCCUGAUCCAGCGACGCCGCGUGAGGGAUGAAGGCCUUCGGGUUGUAAACCUCUGUUGUUAGGAAAGAAGCCGGGUGCAUAACCCGGUGACGGUACCUAACGAGGAAGCCCCGGCUAACUACGUGCCAGCAGCCGCGGUGAGACGUAGGGGGCAAGCGUUGUCCGGAUUCACUGGGCGUAAAGGGCGCGCAGGCGGUUCCGUAAGUCAGGCGUGAAAUACCACGGCUCAACUGUGGAAUCGCGUCUGAUACUGCGGUGACUUGAGGGCGGUAGAGGCAGAUGGAACUAGCGGUGUAGCGGUGAAAUGCGCAGAUAUCGCUAGGAACGCCGGUGGCGAAGGCGAUCUGCUGGGCCGUUCCUGACGCUCAGGCGCGAAAGCUAGGGGAGCGAACCGGAUUAGAUACCCGCGUAGUCC